GAUGAACGCUGGCGGCGUGCCUAAUACAUGCAAGUCGAGCGAACAGACGAGGAGCUUGCUCCUCUGACGUUGGCGGCGGACGGGUGAGUAACACGUGGAUAACCUACCUAUAAGACUGGGAUAACUUCGGGAAACCGGAGCUAAUACCGGAUAAUAUAUUGAACCGCAUGGUUCAAUAGUGAAAGACGGUUUUGCUGUCACUUAUAGAUGGAUCCGCGCCGCAUUAGCUAGUUGGUAAGGUAACGGCUUACCAAGGCAACGAUGCGUAGCCGACCUGAGAGGGUGAUCGGCCACACGGGAACUGAGACACGGUCCAGACUCCUACGGGAGGCAGCAGUAGGGAAUGUGCCGCAAUGGGCGAAAGCCUGACGGAGCAACGCCGCGUGAGUGAUGAAGGUCUUCGGAUCGUAAAACUCUGUUAUUAGGGAAGAACAAAUGUGUAAGUAACUAUGCACGUCUUGACGGUACCUAAUCAGAAAGCCACGGCUAACUACGUG
RNAcentral lists this ribosomal RNA (497 nucleotides) under uncultured bacterium. RNAcentral describes it as "partial 16S ribosomal RNA". It matches the Rfam family "Bacterial small subunit ribosomal RNA", at positions 28 to 507 of the family's 1533-position model. The record is from RNAcentral.